CAGUAGCCGCGGUAAUACGAAGGGGGCUAGCGUUGUUCGGAAUCACUGGGCGUAAAGGGUGCGUAGGCGGGCAUUUAAGUCAGGGGCGAAAUCCCGAGGCUCAACCUCGGAACUGCCCUUGAUACUGGGUGUCUUGAGUCCGGAAGAGGUGAGUGGAACUGCGAGUGUAGAGGUGAAAUUCGUAGAUAUUCGCAAGAACACCGGUGGCGAAGGCGGCUCACUGGUCCGGAACUGACGCUGAGGCACGACAGCGUGGGGAGCAAACAGGAUUAGAUACCCCCGUAGUCCCUGUCUCUUAUAC
This 301-nucleotide ribosomal RNA is filed under the name uncultured bacterium. RNAcentral's name for it is "partial 16S ribosomal RNA". It matches the Rfam family "Bacterial small subunit ribosomal RNA", at positions 509 to 807 of the family's 1533-position model. The record is from RNAcentral.